This 497-nucleotide ribosomal RNA is filed under the name uncultured bacterium. RNAcentral's name for it is "partial 16S ribosomal RNA". It matches the Rfam family "Bacterial small subunit ribosomal RNA", at positions 30 to 507 of the family's 1533-position model. The record is from RNAcentral.
AUUGAACGCUGGCGGCAUGCCUUACACAUGCAAGUCGAGCGGAAACAGGCGUUCCUUUCUUCACUGAUGUUAAAGGCGGACGUAAUAGUUACAAAUGGAUCACCUCCCUGUGGGACACGGAUAAAAACGUGUACUAAGACCUAAUACCGGAUAAUAAUUAAAACAGGAUGGUUCAAAACUGUAAGCCGGUCUUGCUGUCCAUUAUAGAUGGGGCCGCGCUGCAUUAGCUAGUUGGUAAGGUAACGGCUUACCAAGUCAACGAUGCAUAGCUGGCCUGAGAGGGUGAUCCGCCACACUGGAACUGAGACACGGUCCAGACUCCUACGGGAGGCAGCAGUAGGGAAUCUUCCACAAUGGGCGAAAGCCUGACGCAGCAAUGCCGCGUGAGGGAUGAAGGUCUUCGGAUUGUAAAACGCUUUUAUUAGGAAAGAAAAGAUGUGUAAUUAACCGGGCAGAUCUUGACGGUACCGAAAGAGUAAGCCACGGCUAACUACGUG